RNAcentral lists this transfer RNA (70 nucleotides) under Mysateles prehensilis (prehensile-tailed hutia). Its description in RNAcentral is "tRNA-His". It matches the Rfam family "tRNA". From Rfam's summary of the family: Transfer RNA (tRNA) molecules are approximately 80 nucleotides in length. Their secondary structure includes four short double-helical elements and three loops (D, anti-codon, and T loops). Further hydrogen bonds mediate the characteristic L-shaped molecular structure. tRNAs have two regions of fundamental functional importance: the anti-codon, which is responsible for specific mRNA codon recognition, and the 3' end, to which the tRNAs corresponding amino acid is attached (by aminoacyl-tRNA synthetases). tRNAs cope with the degeneracy of the genetic code in two manners: having more than one tRNA (with a specific anti-codon) for a particular amino acid; and 'wobble' base-pairing, i.e. permitting non-standard base-pairing at the 3rd anti-codon position. Lineage: Eukaryota; Metazoa; Chordata; Mammalia; Rodentia; Capromyidae. The record is from RNAcentral.
GUAAUUAUAGUUUAAUUAAAACAUUAGAUUGUGAAUCUAAUAAUAGAAGAAUUUAAACUUCUUACUUACC